UGAGGUAGUAAGUUGUAUAGUUUUGAGGGGCUCUGACCCCCCCAACCCCUUGGGAAGCAACUAUACAAUCUACUGUCUUUC
This 81-nucleotide microRNA precursor is filed under the name Eptatretus burgeri (inshore hagfish). Its description in RNAcentral is "Ebu-Let-7-P2o8_pre stem-loop". The record is from RNAcentral. Lineage: Eukaryota; Metazoa; Chordata; Myxini; Myxiniformes; Myxinidae.